GUUAUAUGGUCAAGCGAAUAAGCGCACACGGUGGAUGCCUAGGCGGUCAGAGGCGAUGAAGGACGUGGUAGCCUGCGAAAAGUGUCGGGGAGCUGGCAACAAGCUUUGAUCCGGCAAUAUCCGAAUGGGGAAACCCACUGCUUCGGCAGUAUCCUGCAGUGAAUUCAUAGCUGCUGGAAGCGAACCCGGUGAACUGAAAUAUCUAAGUAACCGGAGGAAAAGAAAUCAACCGAGAUUCCCUAAGUAGUGACGAGCGAACGGGGAGCAGCCCUUAAGCUGGAAUGGCUUUAGAAAAACAAUCUGGAAAGAUUGGCCAUAGAAGGUGAUAGCCCUGUAUUUAAAAGGGCCACUCCAGUGAAGACGAGUAGGGCGGGGCACGUGAAACCCUGUCUGAAUAUGGGGGGACCAUCCUCCAAGGCUAAAUACUCCUGACCGACCGAUAGUGAACCAGUACCGUGAGGGAAAGGUGAAAAGAACCCCGGAGAGGGGAGUGAAAUAGAUCCUGAAACCGUGUGCGUACAAGCAGUAGGAGCUCGCAAGAGUGACUGCGUACCUUUUGUAUAAUGGGUCAGCGACUUACUGUUCGUGGCAAGCUUAACCGUAUAGGGGAGGCGAAGGGAAACCGAGUCUGAUAAGGGCGCAUAGUCGCGGGCAGUAGACCCGAAACCGGGUGAUCUAGUCAUGGCCAGGGUGAAGGUGCCGUAACAGGUACUGGAGGCCCGAACCCACGUCUGUUGCAAAAGACGGGGAUGAGCUGUGAUUAGGAGUGAAAAGCUAAUCGAACCCGGAGAUAGCUGGUUCUCCUCGAAAGCUAUUUAGGUAGCGCCUCAUAUGUAUCCUCUCGGGGGUAGAGCACUGUUAUGGCUAGGGGGUCAUCGCGACUUACCAAACCAUUGCAAACUCCGAAUACCGAGACGGACUGUAUGGGAGACACACGGCGGGUGCUAACGUCCGUCGUGAAAAGGGAAACAACCCAGACCCACAGCUAAGGUCCCAAAUUCACUGCUAAGUGGAAAACGAUGUGGAAAGGCAUAGACAGCCAGGAGGUUGGCUUAGAAGCAGCCACCCUUUAAAGAAAGCGUAAUAGCUCACUGGUCGAGUCGGUCUGCGCGGAAGAUUUAACGGGGCUAAGCAGUGAACCGAAGCUUGGGGUGCAUAAAACUUGUUUUAUGCGCGGUAGAGGAGCGUUCCGUAAGCCUGCGAAGGUGGAUUGAGAAGUCUGCUGGAGGUAUCGGAAGUGCGAAUGCUGACAUGAGUAACGAUAAUGCGGGUGAAAAGCCCGCACGCCGAAAGCCCAAGGUUUCCUUGCGCAACGUUAAUCGACGCAGGGUUAGUCGGUCCCUAAGGCGAGGGCGAAAGCCGUAGUCGAUGGGAAGCAGGUUAAUAUUCCUGCACCUCGCGUGAGUGCGAUGGAGGGACGGAGAAGGUUAGGUGUACCGGGCGUUGGUUGUCCCGGGGAAAGGCGGUAGGUUUGGAUCUUUGGCAAAUCCGGGAUCCUUUAAGACCGAGCACCGAGACGAGCCUUUAUGGCGAAGUCACUGAUACCACGCUUCCAGGAAAAGCUCCUAAGCUUCAGCUCACGAAGACCGUACCGUAAACCGACACAGGUGGGUAGGAUGAGAAUUCUCAGGCGCUUGAGAGAACUCGGGUGAAGGAACUAGGCAACAUGGCACCGUAACUUCGGGAGAAGGUGCACCCUUUUUGGUGGCUCGUGCGAGCUAUAGCUGAAGAGGGUCGCAGAAACCAGGCCGCUGCGACUGUUUAUCAAAAACACAGCACUCUGCAAACACGAAAGUGGACGUAUAGGGUGUGACGCCUGCCCGGUGCUGGAAGGUUAAUUGAUGGGGUCAGCCGCAAGGCGAAGCUCUUGAUCGAAGCCCCAGUAAACGGCGGCCGUAACUAUAACGGUCCUAAGGUAGCGAAAUUCCUUGUCGGGUAAGUUCCGACCUGCACGAAUGGCGUAACGACAGCGGCGCUGUCUCCACCCGAGACUCAGUGAAAUUGAAAUCGCUGUGAAGAUGCAGCGUUCCCGUGGCAAGACGGAAAGACCCCGUGAACCUUUACUAUAGCUUUACACUGAACGUUGAGUUCGUCUGUGUAGGAUAGGUGGGAGGCUAUGAAACUGUGGCGCUAGCUGCAGUGGAGCCAUCCUUGAAAUACCACCCUGUCGUGCUUGACGUUCUAACCUAGGUCCGUUAUCCGGAUCAGGGACCGUGUAUGGUGGGUAGUUUGACUGGGGCGGUCUCCUCCUAAAGAGUAACGGAGGAGCACGAAGGUACGCUCAGCGCGGUCGGACAUCGCGCACUGUGUGCAAAGGCAUAAGCGUGCUUGACUGCAAGAUCGACGGAUCAAGCAGGUACGAAAGUAGGUCUUAGUGAUCCGGUGGUUCUGUAUGGAAGGGCCAUCGCUCAACGGAUAAAAGGUACUCCGGGGAUAACAGGCUGAUACCGCCCAAGAGUUCAUAUCGACGGCGGUGUUUGGCACCUCGAUGUCGGCUCAUCACAUCCUGGGGCUGUAGUCGGUCCCAAGGGUAUGGCUGUUCGCCAUUUAAAGUGGUACGCGAGCUGGGUUCAGAACGUCGUGAGACAGUUCGGUCCCUAUCUGCCAUGGGCGUUGGAAGUUUGAGAGGGGCUGCUCCUAGUACGAGAGGACCGGAGUGGACGAACCUCUGGUGUUCCGGUUGUCACGCCAGUGGCAUUGCCGGGUAGCUAUGUUCGGAAGCGAUAACCGCUGAAAGCAUCUAAGCGGGAAGCGCGCCUCAAGAUGAGACUUCCCGGGGCACAAGCCCCCUAAAGGAACCAUGUAGACUACGUGGUUGAUAGGUCAGGUGUGUAAGUACAGCAAUGUAUUGAGCUAACUGAUACUAAUGAUCCGUGCGGCUUGACCAUAUAACCU
This 2895-nucleotide ribosomal RNA is filed under the name Xanthomonas perforans 91-118. RNAcentral describes it as "bacterial LSU rRNA". It matches the Rfam family "Bacterial large subunit ribosomal RNA". Lineage: Bacteria; Pseudomonadati; Pseudomonadota; Gammaproteobacteria; Lysobacterales; Lysobacteraceae. The record is from RNAcentral.